Molecule: ribosomal RNA, 384 nt
Filed under: uncultured Leptolinea sp.
Lineage: Bacteria; Bacillati; Chloroflexota; Anaerolineae; Anaerolineales; Anaerolineaceae
Description: bacterial SSU rRNA
Rfam family: Bacterial small subunit ribosomal RNA
Source: RNAcentral
AUGCAAGUGGUAGGAAACCGAAAGGCGACCGACCCUUCGGGAGGCUUGCACAGGUGCUGCAUGGCUGUCGUCAGCUCGUGUCGUGAGAUGUUCGGUUAAGUCCGCUAACGAGCGCAACCCUCGCUGUGUGUUACAAGUGUCACACGGUACUGCCGGUCUUAAGCCGGAGGAAGGUGGGGAUGACGUCAAGGUCAGCAUGGCCUUUAUGUCCUGGGCUACACACGCGCUACAAUGGCCAACACAAUAGGUUGCUAGGCCGCGAGGUGGAGCCAAUCCUCAAAGUUGGUCUCAGUUCAGAUUGCAGGCUGCAACCCGCCUGCAUGAAGAUGGAGUUGCUAGUAACCGCAGGUCAGCUAUACUGCGGUGAAUACGUUCCCGGGGCUU